CCUACGGGGGGCAGCAGUGGGGGAUAUUGCACAAUGGGCGAAAGCCUGAUGCAGCGACGCCGCGUGAGGGAAGACGGUCUUCGGAUUGUAAACCUCUGUCUUUGGGGAAGAAUAGAGACGGUACCCAAAGAGGAAGCUCCGGCUAACUACGUGCCAGCAGCCGCGGUAAUACGUAGGGAGCGAGCGUUGUCCGGAAUUACUGGGUGUAAAGGGAGCGUAGGCGGGCUUGUAAGUUGAAUGUCUAAUCCACCGGCUCAACCGGUGAUCGCGUUCAAAACUGCAGGUCUUGAGUGAAGUAGAGGCAG
RNAcentral lists this ribosomal RNA (305 nucleotides) under uncultured bacterium. Its description in RNAcentral is "bacterial SSU rRNA". It matches the Rfam family "Bacterial small subunit ribosomal RNA", at positions 338 to 660 of the family's 1533-position model. The record is from RNAcentral.